Molecule: ribosomal RNA, 253 nt
Filed under: uncultured bacterium
Lineage: Bacteria
Description: partial 16S ribosomal RNA
Rfam family: Bacterial small subunit ribosomal RNA
Source: RNAcentral
UACGGAGGGUGCAAGCGUUAUCCGGAUUCACUGGGUUUAAAGGGUGCGUAGGCGGUUGGGUAAGUCUGAUGUGAAAUCUCACAGCUUAACUGUGAAACUGCAUUGGAUACUAUCCAACUCGAGGAAUGGAGGGGAGACUGGAAUACUUGGUGUAGCAGUGAAAUGCGUAGAUAUCAAGUGGAACACCAGUGGCGAAGGCGAGUCUCUGGACAUUUCCUGACGCUGAGGCACGAAAGCCAGGGGAGCAAACGGG